GGUUGGUUUAAUUUCUGUAUUUUAGAAAUUCAAAAGUGUUAAUUUUGACUUACGUCCCAUCUAGAUGGUGUUGCAGGUGGCGACCAGACAAAAGUAAAAACAGAAGAGACGGAAACGUACAUGUCCAUACUUUGCUCACCAUUACCACCGCACUUGUCUCCAUCUUCUUCAGUUCAUGCUCUGACACCUACUGAUAUCGCCACUGUUUAUGCCUUGGGAAUACCAGAUUCAAACAGGUAUAUUGCAAAACAAACAAACAAAGAAAAAACAAUGCACAAAUCUAUGUAA
Molecule: long non-coding RNA, 288 nt
Filed under: Oreochromis niloticus (Nile tilapia)
Lineage: Eukaryota; Metazoa; Chordata; Actinopteri; Cichliformes; Cichlidae
Description: lncRNA (ENSONIG00000036256.1)
Source: RNAcentral